Molecule: ribosomal RNA, 181 nt
Filed under: uncultured soil bacterium
Lineage: Bacteria
Description: partial 16S ribosomal RNA
Rfam family: Bacterial small subunit ribosomal RNA
Source: RNAcentral
AGAUUGAACGCUGGCGGCAGGCCUAACACAUGCAAGUCGAGCGGCAGCACGGGUACUUGUACCUGGUGGCGAGCGGCGGACGGGUGAGUAAUGCCUAGGAAUCUGCCUGGUAGUGGGGGAUAACGCUCGGAAACGGACGCUAAUACCGCAUACGUCCUUCGGGAGAAAGCGAGGGGACCUU